This 257-nucleotide ribosomal RNA is filed under the name uncultured bacterium. RNAcentral's name for it is "partial 16S ribosomal RNA". It matches the Rfam family "Bacterial small subunit ribosomal RNA", at positions 524 to 775 of the family's 1533-position model. The record is from RNAcentral.
GACGGAGGGGGCUAGCGUUGUUCGGAAUGACUGGGCGUAAAGGGCGCGUAGGCUGGUUUUUUAAGUGAGGCGUGAAAGCCCUGGGCUUAACCCCAGGAACUGCGUUUCAGACUGAAAGACUUGAGUACGAGAGAGGUAAGUGGAAUUCCUAGUGUAGAGGGUGAAAAUUCGUAGAUAUUAGGAAGAACACCAGUGGCGAAGGCGGCUUACUGGCUCGGUAACUGACGCUGAGGCGCGAAAGCGUGGGGAGCAACAGG